This 512-nucleotide ribosomal RNA is filed under the name uncultured bacterium. RNAcentral describes it as "partial 16S ribosomal RNA". It matches the Rfam family "Bacterial small subunit ribosomal RNA", at positions 28 to 523 of the family's 1533-position model. The record is from RNAcentral.
GACGAACGCUGGCGGCGUGCCUAAUACAUGCAAGUCGAGCGGAUUGAUGGGAGCUUGCUCCCUGAUAUCAGCGGCGGACGGGUGAGUAACACGUGGGCAACCUGCCUAUAAGACUGGGAUAACUUCGGGAAACCGGAGCUAAUACCGGAUAAUCCCUUUCCUCUCAUGAGGAAAGGCUGAAAGAUGGUUUACGCUAUCACUUAUAGAUGGGCCCGCGGCGCAUUAGCUAGUUGGUGAGGUAACGGCUCACCAAGGCAACGAUGCGUAGCCGACCUGAGAGGGUGAUCGGCCACACUGGGACUGAGACACGGCCCAGACUCCUACGGGAGGCAGCAGUAGGGAAUCUUCCGCAAUGGACGAAAGUCUGACGGAGCAACGCCGCGUGAGUGAUGAAGGUUUUCGGAUCGUAAAACUCUGUUGUUAGGGAAGAACAAGUACGAGAGUAACUGCUCGUACCUUGACGGUACCUAACCAGAAAGCCACGGCUAACUACGUGCCAGCCGCCGCGGUAA